AAGUCAUAACAAGGUUACUGUAGGUGAACCUGCAGUAGGAUCAUUAUUGAAAAUCAGGGCUUCCCAUUCUUUGGGGCCCGAACCUUCACAUAAUUUCCACACACUUGUGAAUCGUUGGGGCGCUUUUUGCUUUGGAUCGGAUUCUCUCAGAGUCCUUGAAGAUUGUGAAGACGCUCUGGCACCCAUUUCAUUACAAACACUGAGUUAAUGGAUGUAGUUGUAAACUUGUCUUUUGACAGAAACAAAAAUACAACUUUCGACAACGGAUCUCUUGGUUCUCC
RNAcentral lists this unclassified non-coding RNA (281 nucleotides) under Golubevia pallescens. RNAcentral's name for it is "partial internal transcribed spacer region". The stretch from base 1 to 46 matches the Rfam family "Eukaryotic small subunit ribosomal RNA", at positions 1786 to 1831 of the family's 1831-position model. Lineage: Eukaryota; Fungi; Basidiomycota; Exobasidiomycetes; Golubeviales; Golubeviaceae. The record is from RNAcentral.